RNAcentral lists this ribosomal RNA (253 nucleotides) under uncultured bacterium. RNAcentral describes it as "partial 16S ribosomal RNA". It matches the Rfam family "Bacterial small subunit ribosomal RNA", at positions 524 to 776 of the family's 1533-position model. The record is from RNAcentral.
UACGGAGGAUGCAAGCGUUAUCCGGAAUUACUGGGCGUAAAGCGCACGUAGGUGGCGACGUAAGUCGGGUGUGAAAGCCCCGGGCUCAACCUGGGAAUUGCAUUCGAGACUGCAUUGCUGGAGUACGGAAGAGGAAGGCGGAAUUCCCGGUGUAGCGGUGAAAUGCGUAGAUAUCGGGAGGAACAUCAGUGGCGAAGGCGGCCUUCUGGUCCAGUACUGACACUCAAGUGCGAAAGCGUGGGGAGCAAACAGG